RNAcentral lists this long non-coding RNA (793 nucleotides) under Homo sapiens (human). Its description in RNAcentral is "HSALNT0095902". Lineage: Eukaryota; Metazoa; Chordata; Mammalia; Primates; Hominidae. The record is from RNAcentral.
AAAACACUGAGAUUGAAUGACAUAUUUUGUAAUUUCUACAGAGACCAUUUAUAAUAAGCUUUAUUAUGGGAAAUUUCUUUUAUUUUGCAGGAGCCCUUGAAUGGCUGUUUCAGGUAAAAGUUAAAGCUUGAUGUAACACUAGAAUAAACAAUAAAAUUAAAUGUAUUUUUCUUUAAGCCACUUGCUGACAUUUCUUAAUCCUUGCCUCCAUCCAUCAUAGUAACAAGCUUAAUUUCACUCCUCAGCACUGGGUAAGUCAUCUUGUAUUGUACUCUUUUGUCUGGAUUUAGAAGGCUUUUGCUAGGAUGAAUUUAACAAAGUAAGUCUUUAAGUGUCAUAUAGUCUUAUUUUAUUGUAUUUUUUCUCUGGAUUCAAAGUGUUUUACAGCUGUUGCAGAGUAAGAAGUGUCAACUUCAUUGGACAUGAAGGAGAAAUCUCAAACAGAGCGGGAAGCAAUUAUGUAUUCAAGGUCAGGCAGAGCAAGAAACAUGCAUCAGAGCCCCCACCUGAGGCAGAUUCACUCUUCUUUGCUGUUGAAUAGCCAGAAUUCAUCUUUGAAAAAUUUACUGUGAAAAUAAAAACAACUGUCAAAUGAAGAAAAUAAAACACAGAGUACUCAACUGUUUUGUCAGGCAUAGAAAUUAAAUUUUAAGUCUGUUGUACUUUUGAUGAAAGUAUGCACAUAUGGGCUCAGAGCUUAUCAAAUUGUGACAAAUUUUGUGUUUGUUUAAGGUUCCACACUGGAGGCUGAGUAACUUGGAGGCACAGGAUAAUAAAAGCACAUGCAAGCGAG